Long non-coding RNA from Nomascus leucogenys (northern white-cheeked gibbon), 1112 nucleotides. RefSeq lists it as uncharacterized. The transcript has 2 exons. NCBI's taxonomy places the organism in Eukaryota, Metazoa, Chordata, Mammalia, Primates, Hylobatidae. The record is from RefSeq and is a predicted model, not a curated record.
UGGUGCCAUUGCACUCCAGCCUGGGCAACAAGAGCGAAACUCCGUCUCAGAAAGAAAAAAAAAGAAAGAAAAGAAACGCAGAACUCUUUACUGGCCUCAAAACGUACUGUGACAUUUCCAUAACCUACAGGUCUAGAAAUCCUGUGCCAAAUAUGGUUAACUUGUUUGCUGAGAAGGAUGUGGAAGAACUGGAACCUUCAUACACAGCUGAUGGGAAAACAGUCUGGAACUUUCUUAAAACAUUCUGGGGCGUUCCUUUUGGCAAAACGAGCAGGCAGUGUGAGCAGCCAGUCAUCAGAGAGAAAGCCCAUCUUUCUAAGCCAGAGGAUGAGGAAAAGGGGCCCCCAGGUGCCAGGGAGUCUGGGGGGAAAUCCUGAAGAGCAAAGACCUGAAAAGAGGAUUCUCUAAUUCUGUACAUGAGCUGAAUUCCGUGCUCAGCCCAGAGCUGCACAUACCAGAGGCAGAGCCCAAGCAACACAGCCACACUCUGAACUGACACUCGGACCACCACCACCAAACAGAAGGCAACGCAGGACCUGCGGACUAAGGCUAACGAGGCUGAUUGCCUGACAAAACAGGAAAAAAAAGAAACAUUCUUCAGGGAAUUUUAGUAGAACACAGAGUCUCCCAACAUAAAACAGACAGUCCUCACUGCACAGCAGUUCAGAACUGUAAAAAUGAACUUCCAACCUGAAAUUGCCAUAUGCUGUUCAUAAUCAUUAAUGGGUAAAAUUGUGAUUUCUUCCUGUCUUUUGAAAAUUGUCAAAACAUCGAUAAUCUUGUACUAUUAGAAAUGUAUAAGGAAACAAAGUAAAUAUUUUUGUACACUGUAAUUUAAAACAUUAGCAACACUGGGAAUUAAAGUGUUUGAUGUCUUCCUAAAAAACCAUCAAGAGACAUUUAAACAGUGCUUGCCUUCUUCAAAAGUCAUGUACCUUAUGAUAUGGAGCAAGCACCUUUUCUGUGUUUCAAAAACUUGUCAUGCUCCUUCUAAGUUUGGAUCAGCUUCCAAUAUUUUAUCCUUUCUGCUUUCAAUGUCAUGAAAUAUCUCCAAGUCCCUUUAACGUGAAGGUUUUUGCUGACGUUCCUUCAUCUGGGACAUCUUCAUCCUU